Molecule: ribosomal RNA, 250 nt
Filed under: uncultured bacterium
Lineage: Bacteria
Description: partial 16S ribosomal RNA
Rfam family: Bacterial small subunit ribosomal RNA
Source: RNAcentral
GGACGGGUGAGUAAUGCUGGGAAACUGCCUGAUGGAGGGGGAUAACUACUGGAAACGGUAGCUAAUACCGCAUAAUGUCGCAAGACCAAAGAGGGGGACCUUCGGGCCUCUUGCCAUCGGAUGUGCCCAGAUGGGAUUAGCUUGUUGGUGGGGUAACGGCUCACCAAGGCGACGAUCCCUAGCUGGUCUGAGAGGAUGACCAGCCACACUGGAACUGAGACACGGCCAGACUCCUACGGGAGGCAGCAUG